RNAcentral lists this ribosomal RNA (135 nucleotides) under uncultured bacterium. RNAcentral's name for it is "partial 16S ribosomal RNA". It matches the Rfam family "Bacterial small subunit ribosomal RNA", at positions 355 to 507 of the family's 1533-position model. The record is from RNAcentral.
UGGGGAAUAUUGCACAAUGGAGGAAACCCUGAUGCAGCAACGCCGCGUGAGUGAUGAAGGUCUUCGGAUUGUAAAGCUCUGUCUUCUGGGACGAUAAUGACGGUACCAGAGGAGGAAGCCACGGCUAACUACGUG